GACGAACGCUGGCGGCGUGCUUAACACAUGCAAGUCGAGCGGUAAGGCCCUUUCGGGGGUACGACGAGCGGCGAACGGGUGAGUAACACGUGGGUGACCUGCCCUCAGCUCUGGGAUAAGCCUGGGAAACUGGGUCUAAUACUGGAUAUGACUCCACGGUGCAUGUCGUGGGGUGGAAAGCCUUGUGCGGCUGAGGAUGGGCCCGCGGCCUAUCAGCUUGUUGGUGGGGUGANGGCCUACCAAGGCGACGACGGGUAGCCGGCCUGAGAGGGCGACCGGCCACACUGGGACUGAGACACGGCCCAGACUCCUACGGGAGGCAGCAGUGGGGAAUCUUGCGCAAUGGGCGAAAGCCUGACGCAGCGACGCCGCGUGAGGGAUGACGGCCUCGGUUGU
This 396-nucleotide ribosomal RNA is filed under the name uncultured bacterium. RNAcentral describes it as "bacterial SSU rRNA". It matches the Rfam family "Bacterial small subunit ribosomal RNA", at positions 28 to 426 of the family's 1533-position model. The record is from RNAcentral.